RNAcentral lists this ribosomal RNA (48 nucleotides) under Fusarium culmorum. RNAcentral describes it as "partial 28Sribosomal RNA". The record is from RNAcentral. Lineage: Eukaryota; Fungi; Ascomycota; Sordariomycetes; Hypocreales; Nectriaceae.
UUGACCUCGGAUCAGGUAGGAAUACCCGCUGAACUUAAGCAUAUCAGA